Molecule: ribosomal RNA, 489 nt
Filed under: uncultured bacterium
Lineage: Bacteria
Description: bacterial SSU rRNA
Rfam family: Bacterial small subunit ribosomal RNA
Source: RNAcentral
UGAACGCUGGCGGCGUGCCUAAUACAUGCAAGUGAAACGGGUAUCUUCGGAUACCAGUCGCGGACGGGUGAGUAAUACAUAGGCAACCUGCCUUUAUGAGGGGGAUAACCGAGGGAAACUUUGGCUAAUACCGCAUGAAGACUCUAAGGCAUCUUAGAGGGAUAAAAGUUGGGAAACAACGCAUGAAGAUGGGCUUAUGGCGCAUUAGCUAGUUGGUGAGAUAGAAGCCCACCAAGGUAAUGAUGCGUAGCCGACCUGAGAGGGUGAACGGCCACAUUGGGACUGAGACACGGCCCAAACUCCUACGGGAGGCAGCAGUAGGGAAUUUUCGGCAAUGGGGGGAACCCUGACCGAGCAACGCCGCGUGAAGGAAGAAGGUUUUCGGAUUGUAAACUUCUGUUAUAAGGGAAGAACGGAUUGGAUAGGGAAUGAUCUGAUAGUGACGGUACCUUAUUAGAAAGCCACGGCUAACUACGUGCCAGCCGCCGC